RNAcentral lists this long non-coding RNA (480 nucleotides) under Setaria viridis. RNAcentral describes it as "long non-coding RNA (SVIR_LNC010473)". The record is from RNAcentral. Lineage: Eukaryota; Viridiplantae; Streptophyta; Magnoliopsida; Poales; Poaceae.
GAAUUUAAAGAAUUUCUAGGAAAUUACUAAUGGAUUUCCUAGAGUUUUUGACGGGUGGCAUAAUGGUUAGGUUCUAUUGAGAUCUAGGGUUUUUAUUAGGCAACAUUUCGGCUAGGAUUCGGGUGAUAUUUGGGAUCUGUGUUGGGCAUUAUGACGGCUAGGUUUGGUCGAUAUAUGAGGUUUGGAUUGGGCAGCAUAAUGGUUGAGUUUUGGAAUAGAUUCUAGGUAUGACUUAGGGUGUGGGGUGGUGUGUGGAUCUCAAGGCUAUGAGACCUGUAUGACAAGCUCAGCUUCGACCCUAUGACAGGUGGAGUUGGUCAAGUUUGCUUGGGCUUGGGUUUCACUAUCAGGCUUGAGAGCUUGCGUGAUGGACUCACUUCAACCACUAGAGUGGAGCUCGGGCAAGAUCAAGUAGAUGCGCGACAGCGAUAAGGGUUAGCGGCGAUGAUAGGCAGCGAGGAAUAGCCGGUUGGGUGCUGU